Molecule: long non-coding RNA, 681 nt
Filed under: Anolis carolinensis (green anole)
Lineage: Eukaryota; Metazoa; Chordata; Lepidosauria; Squamata; Anolidae
Description: lncRNA (ENSACAG00000043768.1)
Source: RNAcentral
GGGCCCAUAGUGGGUUAUAUUCUGCCUUGAGAUUCUGUGUGGAAGAGCCUUGAGAGAGGGGUCUCAGCCCCCUCCUUGGCUAGAAAGGGAGGGGCCAGGAGGAGCAGAGGAGCGAGGGGGCGUGGCCUAAGACGCCCAAGGCGCUUCAAGCCACGCCCCCUCGGAAUCUUCUCCUCCUCGGGCAGAGCCCCCUCAGCCCCCCCCCCCCCGCCUCUUGUUGGCUCCUAUUCAAAUGUGGGUCAGGGGUGAGAAGCGCGGCGACGUCCCGGGCGGGCAAGAUGGCGCCGCGAGGAAGGCGGUGAGAUGCGGGAGGCGCGGGUAUAAUAAAGGCACCGGCGGCGGGCAGCCAGGAGGGAGACACCGGGGCGGAGGAGGCGGCGAAGGAAGAGCCAGAGCCGGCCCUGGCAGAGAGGAAGCAUGCCAUUCAAAAGGUAAUGGUGCAUGUUGCCCCAGGGAAGAUUCCCCCUGUCGGUAGCUGAGGUAAGUGUGUGUGUGCUGCGAGUUUAAAAUUACUUAUCAGCCGUUUCUUACACCCUUCUGAGCUGGAGGUGCUGGCUGCCAUGUCCCCAGGGUUAUUCUGAUCUGUUACUUUGUGAUACUCUUCAACCACCCCUUUUGCACCCUCGGGCAGAGCAGUUUGGCAGCGGAAGGCGGAAUGUAAAUUUUUGCCUUUUCAACAGG